GUGAGGAAUAUUGGUCAAUGGGCGGGAGCCUGAACCAGCCAAGUCGCGUGAAGGAAGAAGGAUCUAUGGUUCGUAAACUUCUUUUGCAGGGGAAUAAAGUGCAGGACGUGUCCUGUUUUGUAUGUACCCUGAGAAUAAGGAUCGGCUAACUCCGUGCCAGCAGCCGCGGUAAUACGGAGGCUCCGAGCGUUAUCCGGAUUUAUUGGGUUUAAAGGGUGCGUAGGUGGUUUGAUAAGUCAGCGGUGAAAGUUUGCAGCUUAACUGUAAAAAUGCCGUUGAAACUGUCGGACUUGAGUGUAAAUGAGGUAGGCGGAAUGCGUGGUGUAGCGGUGAAAUGCAUAGAUAUCACGCAGAACUCCGAUUGCGAAGGCAGCUUACUAAGCUACAACUGACACUGAAGCACGAAAGCGUGGGGAUCAAACAGGAUUAGAAACCCCGGUAGUCC
Molecule: ribosomal RNA, 445 nt
Filed under: uncultured bacterium
Lineage: Bacteria
Description: partial 16S ribosomal RNA
Rfam family: Bacterial small subunit ribosomal RNA
Source: RNAcentral